This 248-nucleotide long non-coding RNA is filed under the name Homo sapiens (human). Its description in RNAcentral is "non-protein coding lnc-XPO7-5:1". The record is from RNAcentral. Lineage: Eukaryota; Metazoa; Chordata; Mammalia; Primates; Hominidae.
AGUACCUGAUCCACUGUUCCCUUCUCUCUGCAUAAAACAGGAGUUGACUGUGAGCAGAGCUGCACAACCAGCUUCACUGUUCCCAGGUAGACCCCGAGUGAUUACAGACUGGAUGACAAGGACGAAUGAAUGAAGCUUUUCUCCUCUGGUACAGUGUGACUGGUAUGAACACCUACCUUGUAGGGUUGUUGUGAGGAUUAAUUGAGAUAAUCCAUGUAAAGUGAUUAGCCCGAUGAAUGUUUGCUGUU